UAAGGCCGGUUUCUUCUUCACCCAAAUCCCCCCCAAGUGUAUUUCCAUGUCAUCUUCACCCAAAUGAAAAACGGCCUAUCCUCCCUUUACAUUGAGCCUGCAGUCAUCAACUGGUCGGAGUUUGCAGCUUUUAUAUUGAUAUUAUGGCCCAUUUCACAGCUGUAACUGUUUUGGAAAGGAUUCAUCAUGCUUGAUCUCAUUUGGCAUUGGUCAUGAAAGAAGCAGUAGUUCCCAUAUUCCAUAAGCAAAAAAAAAGGUAAAAUCAUCA
Molecule: long non-coding RNA, 268 nt
Filed under: Gossypium raimondii (Peruvian cotton)
Lineage: Eukaryota; Viridiplantae; Streptophyta; Magnoliopsida; Malvales; Malvaceae
Description: long non-coding RNA (GRAI_LNC003270)
Source: RNAcentral